Oncorhynchus tshawytscha (Chinook salmon) is the source of this 941-nucleotide long non-coding RNA. Lineage: Eukaryota; Metazoa; Chordata; Actinopteri; Salmoniformes; Salmonidae. The record is from Ensembl.
GUAGUUUAGGGGCGGCAGGUAGACUGGAGGCAGGUAGACUAGGAGAAGGUAUACACGGGGCAGGUAGACUAGGAGAAGGUAGACUAGGAGAAGGUAGACACGGGGCAGGUAGACUAGGAGAAGGUAGACUAGGAGAAGGUAUACACGGGGCAGGUAGACUAGGAGAAGGUAUACACGGGGCAGGUAGACUAGGAGAAGGUAUACACGGGGCAGGUAGACUAGGAGAAGGUAGAAUAGGAGAAGGUAUACACGGGGCAGGUAGACUAGGAGAAGUUAGACUAGGAGAAGGUAUACACGGGGCAGGUAGACUAGGAGAAGGUAUACACGGGGCAGGUAGACUAGGGGCGGCAGGUAGACUAGGGGCGACAGGUAGACUGGAGGCAGGUAGCCUAGGAGAAGGUAGAUUAGGAGAAGGUAUACACGGGGCAGGUAGACAAGGAGAAGGUAUACACGGGGCAGAUAGACUAGGGGCGGCAGGUAGACUAGGGGCGGCAGGUAGACUGGAGGCAGGUAGACUAGGAGAAGGUAGACUAGGAGAAGAUAUACACGGGGCAGGUAGACUAGGGGCAGGUAGACUAGGGGCGGCAGGUAGACUAGAGGCAGGUAGACUAGGAGAAGGUAUACAAGGGGCAGGUAGACUAGGGGUGGCAGGUAGACUAGAGGCAGGUAGUCUAGUAGAAGGUAUACAAGGGGCAGGUAGACUAGGGAGGCAGGUAGACUGGAGGCAGGUAGACUGGAGGCAGGUAGACUGGAGGCAGGUAGACUAGGGGUGGCAAGUAGACUGGAGACAGGUAGACUAGGAGAAGGUAGACUAGGAGAAGGUAUACAACGGGCAGGUAGACAAGGAGAAGGUAUACAAGGGGCAGGUAGACUGGAGGCAGGUAGACUGGAGGCAGGUAGACUAGAGGAGGCAGGUAGACUAGGAGAAGGUAGACUAGGAG